ACGGGAGGCAGCAGUGGGGGAUAUUGCACAAUGGGCGAAAGCCUGAUGCAGCGACGCCGCGUGAGCGAAGAAGUAUUUCGGUAUGUAAAGCUCUAUCAGCAGGGAAGAUAAUGACGGUACCUGACUAAGAAGCACCGGCUAAAUACGUGCCAGCAGCCGCGGUACUACGUAUGGUGCAAGCGUUAUCCGGAUUUACUGGGUGUAAAGGGAGCGUAGGCGGUUGUACAAGUCUGAUGUGAAAGCCCGGGGCUCAACUCCGGUACUGCAAUGGAAACUGUAUAACUAGAGUGUCGGAGGGGUAAGUGGAAUUCCUAGUGUAGCGGUGAAAUGCGUAGAUAUUAGGAGGAACACCAGUGGCGAAGGCGGCUUACUGGACGAUUACUGACGCUGAGGCUCGAAAGCGUGGGGAGCAAACAGGAUUAGAUACCCUGGUA
RNAcentral lists this ribosomal RNA (434 nucleotides) under uncultured Pseudobutyrivibrio sp. RNAcentral's name for it is "partial 16S ribosomal RNA". It matches the Rfam family "Bacterial small subunit ribosomal RNA", at positions 341 to 792 of the family's 1533-position model. Lineage: Bacteria; Bacillati; Bacillota; Clostridia; Lachnospirales; Lachnospiraceae. The record is from RNAcentral.